UACGUAGGGGGCAAGCGUUAUCCGGAUUUACUGGGUGUAAAGGGAGCGUAGGCGGCUUAGUAAGUCAGAAGUGAAAGCCCGCAGCUCAACUGCGGGACUGCUUUUGAAACUGCCAAGCUAGAGUGUCGGAGAGGUAAGUGGAAUUCCUAGUGUAGCGGUGAAAUGCGUAGAUAUUAGGAGGAACACCAGUGGCGAAGGCGGGUUACUGGACGACAACUGACGGUGAGGCGCGAAAGUGCGGGGAUCGAACAGG
This 253-nucleotide ribosomal RNA is filed under the name uncultured Eubacteriales bacterium. Its description in RNAcentral is "uncultured Clostridiales bacterium partial 16S ribosomal RNA". It matches the Rfam family "Bacterial small subunit ribosomal RNA", at positions 524 to 776 of the family's 1533-position model. The record is from RNAcentral. Lineage: Bacteria; Bacillati; Bacillota; Clostridia; Eubacteriales.